RNAcentral lists this transfer RNA (72 nucleotides) under Picea sitchensis (Sitka spruce). Its description in RNAcentral is "tRNA-Glu". The record is from RNAcentral. Lineage: Eukaryota; Viridiplantae; Streptophyta; Pinopsida; Pinales; Pinaceae.
GCCCCUAUCGUCUAGUGGAYCAGGACAUCCCCUUUCCAAGGAGGCAACGGGGUUCCACUUCCCCUAGGGGUA